CCUACGGGAGGCAGCAGUGGGGAAUAUUGCACAAUGGGCGCAAGCCUGAUGCAGCAACGCCGCGUGAGGGACGACGGCCUUCGGGUUGUAAACCUCUUUUAGUAGGGAAGAAGCGAAAGUGACGGUACCUGCAGAAAAAGCACCGGCUAACUACGUGCCAGCAGCCGCGGUAAUACGUAGGGUGCAAGCGUUAUCCGGAAUUAUUGGGCGUAAAGAGCUCGUAGGCGGUUUGUCGCGUCUGCUGUGAAAACUGGAGGCUCAACCUCCAGCCUGCAGUGGGUACGGGCAAACUAGAGUGCGGUAGGGGAGAUUGGAAUUCCUGGUGUAGCGGUGGAAUGCGCAGAUAUCAGGAGGAACACCGAUGGCGAAGGCAGAUCUCUGGGCCGUAACUGACGCUGAGGAGCGAAAGCAUGGGGAGCGAACAGGAUUAGAUACCCUGGUAGUCCAUGCCGUAAACGUUGGGCGCUAGAUGUGGGGACCAUUCCACGGUUUCCGUGUCGCNGCUACGCAUAGCGCCCGCCCGGCGGACGGCGGCCGACGACGAACGUAACAACAAGAGUAGUAGACGUCGAGAGACGCGACGACGACGACGACGGAGGGAGGAG
RNAcentral lists this ribosomal RNA (605 nucleotides) under uncultured bacterium. Its description in RNAcentral is "partial 16S ribosomal RNA". The stretch from base 1 to 521 matches the Rfam family "Bacterial small subunit ribosomal RNA", at positions 338 to 873 of the family's 1533-position model. The record is from RNAcentral.